RNAcentral lists this long non-coding RNA (1897 nucleotides) under Lactuca sativa (garden lettuce). RNAcentral describes it as "long non-coding RNA (LSAT_LNC003570)". Lineage: Eukaryota; Viridiplantae; Streptophyta; Magnoliopsida; Asterales; Asteraceae. The record is from RNAcentral.
UUGAAAAGUUCAAAGAGUUCAAGAAUGAAGUGGAGAAUCAAUUGGGCAGGAAAAUCAAGAUGCUUCGAUCCGAUCGAGGAGGAGAGUACCUAAGUCUUGAAUUCCACGACUAUCUCAAGGAGUGUGGAAUAGUUUCACAAUUGACGCCACCUAGGACACCGCAGUUGAAUGGUGUGGCAGAAAGGCAUAAUCGAACCUUGUUGGACAUGGUUCGCUCUAUGAUGAGUCAUGCUUCAGUACCUAUCUUUUUUUGGGGGUAUGCCUUAGAGACUGCCACCCAUAUCCUUAACCGAGUCCCUACUAAGAAGGUUGCCAAAACACCUCACGAGAUGUGGACAGGGAAAGCUCCCUCGUUAACACAUAUCAAGGUUUGGGGUUGUGAGGCUUUUGUAAUACGAGAUACUCACGACAAGCUCGAACCUCAUAGUGAGCGAUGUAUUUUCAUCGACUACCCGCAGAAAUCCUUUGGAUAUCUCUUCUAUAGACCGAAGGACAAUGUCGUCUUCAUUGCGAGGAGAGGAGUUUUCCGAGAGAGAGAACUCAUAAGCCAAGGAGACAGUGGGAGGCAAAUCGAGAUAGUGGGACCAAAGUUGAUCCUGCUAAACCCUGUCCUAACCCAAAAGAGGCAGAGUGCCAUCAUUUCCAUAAAAUAGGGCAUUGGAAGAGAAGCUACCCAGACUACCUGCAAGCCAGAAAUGAAGGAAAGAUCAAGCCAACUUUCGCAGGUAUUUACACAAUUAAAUCUAAUGAUUCAUCUCAUGCUAUUUCUUGGGUCCUUGAUACCGGUUGUGGUUACCACAUUCUGAAUUGCAGGGACUAAGAAGAAAUAGGGAUGUGGAGCAUGGAAGAAUAAAUCUAAUCAUGGGGAACAGAAGAUCGUCGCCUGUGACCAAGAUUGGAGUGUAUUCUUUAGUGCUUAGGAAUGGUUUAUGUUUAGAUUUGAACAAUUGUUGCUAUUCGCCAGAAAUGGCAAGAAACAUCAUUUCAUUUCAUGGUUUGUUUAGACAAGGUUUUAGAUUUUCUUUUAAUAAUGAGAAUGGUUCUAUUCUUGCUUAUCUAAAUGGUGUCUUAUAUUUUGAAGCAAUACCGUGUAAUGGAAUUUAUGAAACUGUUAUGAUUGUAGAUAACUUAGGAAAUGAUGUUUUAUGCAUGGAUUCUUCCAAUGGUAUGGAUAGAGCAUCCUUGUGGCAUUGUCGUCUUGGACAUGUCAACAAGAAGCGCAUAGCCCAACUCCAAAAGGAUGGAGUGUUGGAGUCAUUCGACCUUAGGGAAGAUGACACAUGCGAGUCUUGUUUGCUUGGAAAGAUGACUAAGUCACCCUUCACUAGUACGUGUGAAAGGGGUGAGGGUCUAUUGGACCUCAUACAUACCGAUGUAUGUGGACCGUUUAGAUCAACCACGAAGGAUGGAAACCGCUUCUAUGUGACUUUUACCGAUGACUAUAGUAGAUAUGGGUAUAUCUACUUAAUCAAGCAAAAGUCAGAAACGUUUGAAAAGUUCAAAGAGUUCAAGAAUGAAGUGGAGAAUCAAUUGGGCAGGAAAAUCAAGAUGCUUCGAUCCGAUCGAGGAGGAGAGUACCUAAGUCUUGAAUUCCACGAUUAUCUCAAGGAGUGUGGAAUAGUUUCACAAUUGACGCCACCUAGGACACCGCAGUUGAAUGGUGUGGCAGAAAGGCGUAAUCGAACCUUAUUGGAUAUGGUUCGCUCUAUGAUGAGUCGUGCUUCACUACCUAUCUCUUUUUGGGGGUAUGCCUUAGAGACUGCCGCCCAUAUCCUUAACCGAGUCCCUACUAAGAAGGUUGCCAAAACACCUCACGAGAUGUGGACAGGGAAAGCUCCCUCGUUGGCACAUAUCAAGGUUUGGGGUUGCGAGGCUUUCGUAAGACGAGAUACUCACG